AGUCUAACCGGAGUACAAGUGCAGUGUAUAUAUUUUGCCUAUGAUGAUAUGGGAAAGCUAAGGUGCAUUAACAGUAAUACACUUUAACUGCACUUUAACACUGAUGUAAACUUUAACAAACAUAAACUGUGACACAAUAAACCAAAGGCUUACAACUAACCUGUUACAAAGGGGAUGGACAACUAAUAGCAUAUUAACUGACAUACAAGCAGUAAAGACACCUGUAAUAACACCUGAACAGGUCUAAUGUUAACUUACCAAAUGUCACUGAUGAAUUUAAGGUGGAGUAACAGUAACACAUGUCGACUCAGCAAUGUAUUGAUUAUUAAACAAUGCUGCUAUCGUCCAAAGUAAGCUAGCAAGCUAACACUCUGCUCCCACAACGGGAACUACGAUCAUUAAACUAUUAAUUUCAUUCACUUCAUCACAUUGACGUUACAGUACCUCUAUCUUCUUCACGUUUUUCUUCCUCUUCUUUCCUUCUUUUCACUGGGCGCCGGAUGGUUUCAGUCUAUUGGACCUUGUGGUUCCGCUACAGCAUCAGUAAAUCUCUCUCUGGGUCUUGGGGUCUCGGUCCGGUCAGAUUCAGGCAGCUCACCUCUCGACCCGCCCCCCUCACAGAGGACAGAGCACCGAGCCAGAACCCAGAAAAAAGGCUUCUCCGUUAGUUAAUAGAGUGGCGAAGUCCCGCCCCUUCCGGUGGACCCCAUGGGACCUCUGGGAUCGUAAAAUAUACAUGGGAUUGAAUGGACAGAAAGUAAUUAUUUUCUGGUCCCAGUCGUUAUAUGCCUUGGAUUACACACAUGUUGUUUGUGGGUUUAAAUGAUAUUUUUUCAUGUCAAGAGUUUGACAGUCUAUUGUGCAAUUGUUCAGUUAAAGGCUGUAGAGAAGAAAUGAUGAGAAAGACUACAUGUCGCGUAUGUGACGUCACGUCAUCAACUUUUCCCUCCGCUGUCAAGUGGCUAAGCAAGGUUCCUGUAUUUCAAGAUGCUGGUGUGUUUUGUACCAGUCCUCAUUCGAGCAGGCACGGCUGUUGUUUCUUUCGGAUCCCUUCAGAUGUGAAGAAUCGCUGGCUCAAAUUGAUCCGGAACAGCUAAAGCCCCCAACCAGGACUGAUGGACACAGGAAUUUUCAGGUCAAGUGUUUUAUUAAUUUUACUGCAUCACAGUUAGCAGUGUCAGCAUACACAGCAGUAUCUACAACUGACCAGUGACCAAAUUAAGCACUUAACAACCAAGAACAUGUCCACAAGUCUCCCAGUCCCUCAAAUUGUGCACAAUGCACCACCCCAUGUCAAUCAUAUUACACGCAAUAUGUGGGAUAGUGCCUUGUGCAUAUGUUGUGACUUUUCAUCAUGGCAUUAUUAAUGCAAUUAAUUAUUUAAGCAUCAAUCAGACCUCACAUGAACGUUUACACACCAAAAAUGUAACAGCGUAGCUUUUUAAGUGAGUUUAAGUUAGCAUUAAUUCCAUUUUUAUCACAAGUUUGUUUUCUAUAUUCUCUCCUCAGCACCAUCAUAUCCUGUUCCUGUGUGUCCUGCUUGCAAGUCAGCGCCUUGGAUUUGUAUACCAUUUCAAAUAAAUUAAGUUGACUGUAGUUAUGACCUUGAGCUGUGUUUCUUUGAGUCAAAAACAAUGUUUGUGUUUAAAAACAAUCAGACAGUCUUUAACAGAAUACACGCUUACUUUAUUCCCAAUGUGAAAGAUGACAGUCAUUUACCUAGAUUAGUGUUUAUAACUUAGAUUUUAUUCAAAUCCUCAAGUUCAAUAUUCAUGUCAGAUAAAUUGUAUGGGCUGUGAGUGUGAUUUUAUAUUUUAUCACCACACACACUCAUUUGUAAAAAUCUUACCUGAUGUUUCAAUGGCUUAACUAUGAUAUUAAGCCUAAUUGCAAAGAUAUAAUUACAGUGUAGGACAAAAGACUGG
Sparus aurata (gilthead seabream) is the source of this 1925-nucleotide long non-coding RNA. The record is from Ensembl. Lineage: Eukaryota; Metazoa; Chordata; Actinopteri; Spariformes; Sparidae.